This 320-nucleotide ribosomal RNA is filed under the name uncultured eukaryote. Its description in RNAcentral is "partial 18S ribosomal RNA". It matches the Rfam family "Eukaryotic small subunit ribosomal RNA", at positions 1470 to 1796 of the family's 1831-position model. The record is from RNAcentral.
CCCCUAGAUGUUCUGGGCCGCACGCGCGCUACACUGAACAGUUCAACAAGUCUUAACCUUGGCCGAUAGGUCUGGGUAAUCUUUGAACGCUGUUCGUGAUUGGGAUAGACCUUUGCAAUUAUGGGUCUUCAACGAGGAAUUCCUAGUAAACGCAAGUCAUCAGCUUGCAUUGAUUACGUCCCUGCCCUUUGUACACACCGCCCGUCGCACCUACCGAUUGAAUGGUCCGGUGAAAUCUCGGGACGGCGGCUUGGUCGCUUGCGUCCGACUGCUGAAACUUGAUUAAACCAUAUCAUUUAGAGGAAGGUGGAGUCGUANCA